This 254-nucleotide ribosomal RNA is filed under the name uncultured bacterium. Its description in RNAcentral is "partial 16S ribosomal RNA". It matches the Rfam family "Bacterial small subunit ribosomal RNA", at positions 524 to 776 of the family's 1533-position model. The record is from RNAcentral.
UACAGAGGUCUCAAGCGUUGUUCGGAUUUAUUGGGCGUAAAGAGCUCGUAGGUGGUUCGGUAAGUCGGAUGUGAAAUCUCCAGGCUCAACCUGGAGGGGUCAUUCGAUACUGCCGUGACUAGAGUUCGGUAGGGGAGUGUGGAAUUCCUGGUGUAGCGGUGAAAUGCGCAGAUAUCAGGAAGAACACCCGUGGCGAAGGCGGCUCUCUGGGACGGUACUGACGCUGAGACGCGAAAGCGUGGGGAGCGAACAGG